RNAcentral lists this ribosomal RNA (468 nucleotides) under uncultured bacterium. Its description in RNAcentral is "partial 16S ribosomal RNA". It matches the Rfam family "Bacterial small subunit ribosomal RNA", at positions 28 to 507 of the family's 1533-position model. The record is from RNAcentral.
GACGAACGCUGGCGGCGUGCUUAACACAUGCAAGUCGAACGGAAAGGCCCUGCUUUUGUGGGGUGCUCGAGUGGCGAACGGGUGAGUAACACGUGAGUAACCUGCCCUUGACUUUGGGAUAACUUCAGGAAACUGGGGCUAAUACCGGAUAGGAGCUCCUGCUGCAUGGUGGGGGUUGGAAAGUUUCGGCGGUUGGGGAUGGACUCGCGGCUUAUCAGCUUGUUGGUGGGGUAGUGGCUUACCAAGGCUUUGACGGGUAGCCUGCCUGAGAGGGUGACCGGCCACAUUGGGACUGAGUUACGGCCCAGACUCCUACUGGAGGCAGCAGUGGGAAAUAUUGCACAAUGGGCGGAAGCCUGAGGCAGCAACGCCGCGUGCGGGAUGACGGCCUUCGGGUAGUAAGCCGCUUUCGCCUGUGACGAAGCGUGAGUGACGGUAAUGGGUAAAGAAGCACCGGCUAACUACGUG